AAAGUGUUACCUCCGUCCCAAAUUACUUGUCUUAGAUUUGUCUAGAUAUAGAUGUAUCUAACACUAAAACAUGUCUAGAGACAUCCGUAUCUAGACAAAUUUAAGAGAAGUAAUUCGGAAAGGAAGGAGUAUUUC
This is a non-coding RNA of Hordeum vulgare subsp. vulgare (domesticated barley), 135 nucleotides long. The record is from Rfam. NCBI's taxonomy places the organism in Eukaryota, Viridiplantae, Streptophyta, Magnoliopsida, Poales, Poaceae.